UACGUAGGGUGCAAGCGUUGUCCGGAAUUAUUGGGCGUAAAGGGCUCGUAGGCGGUUUGUCGCGUCUGCCGUGAAAACCCGAGGCUUAACCUCGGGCCUGCGGUGGAUACGGGCAGACUAGAGGUAGGUAGGGGAGAAUGGAAUUCCCGGUGUAGCGGUGAAAUGCGCAGAUAUCGGGAGGAACACCGGUGGCGAAGGCGGUUCUCUGGGCCUUACCUGACGCUGAGGAGCGAAAGCGUGGGGAGCGAACAGG
Molecule: ribosomal RNA, 253 nt
Filed under: uncultured bacterium
Lineage: Bacteria
Description: partial 16S ribosomal RNA
Rfam family: Bacterial small subunit ribosomal RNA
Source: RNAcentral